This 659-nucleotide ribosomal RNA is filed under the name uncultured bacterium. Its description in RNAcentral is "bacterial SSU rRNA". It matches the Rfam family "Bacterial small subunit ribosomal RNA", at positions 94 to 788 of the family's 1533-position model. The record is from RNAcentral.
AGUGGCGGACGGGUGAGUAACGCGUGAGAAUCUGCCUUGGGGUCGGGGACAACCACUGGAAACGGUGGCUAAUACCGGAUAAGCCGAUUGGUGAAAGAUCUAUUGCCCGAAGAGGAGCUCGCGUCUGAUUAGCUAGUUGUGAGGUAAGAGCUCACCAAGGCAGCGAUCAGUAGCUGGUCUGAGAGGACGAUCAGCCACACUGGGACUGAGACACGGCCCAGACUCCUACGGGAGGCAGCAGUGGGGAAUUUUCCGCAAUGGGCGAAAGCCUGACGGAGCAAGACCGCGUGAGGGAGGAAGGCUCUUGGGUUGUAAACCUCUUUUCUCAGGGAAGAAGCUCUGACGGUACCUGAGGAAUCAGCCUCGGCUAACUCCGUGCCAGCAGCCGCGGUAAUACGGAGGAGGCAAGCGUUAUCCGGAAUUAUUGGGCGUAAAGCGUCCGCAGGUGGCGAUUCAAGUCUGCUGUCAAAGCACGGGGCUUAACUCCGUAAAGGCAGUGGAAACUGAAUAGCUAGAGUGCCGUAGGGGUAGAGGGAAUUCCCGGUGUAGCGGUGAAAUGCGUAGAGAUCGGGAAGAACAUCGGUGGCGAAAGCGCUCUACUGGACGGCAACUGACACUCAGGGACGAAAGCUAGGGGAGCGAAUGGGAUUAGAUACCCC